Transfer RNA from Ovis aries (sheep), 72 nucleotides. It matches the Rfam family "tRNA". From Rfam's summary of the family: Transfer RNA (tRNA) molecules are approximately 80 nucleotides in length. Their secondary structure includes four short double-helical elements and three loops (D, anti-codon, and T loops). The record is from Rfam. NCBI's taxonomy places the organism in Eukaryota, Metazoa, Chordata, Mammalia, Artiodactyla, Bovidae.
UCCCUGGUGGCUUAGAUGAUAAAGAAUCUGCCUCCAGUGUGGGAGACCCAGGUUCAAUUCCUGGGUUGGGAA